RNAcentral lists this ribosomal RNA (510 nucleotides) under uncultured bacterium. RNAcentral describes it as "partial 16S ribosomal RNA". It matches the Rfam family "Bacterial small subunit ribosomal RNA", at positions 28 to 507 of the family's 1533-position model. The record is from RNAcentral.
GACGAACGCUGGCGGCGUGCUUAACACAUGCAAGUCGAACGAAGAGCGAUGGAAGCUUGCUUCUAUCAAUCUUAGUGGCGAACGGGUGAGUAACGCGUAAUCAACCUGCCCUUCAGAGGGGGACAACAGUUGGAAACGACUGCUAAUACCGCAUACGAUCUAAUCUCGGCAUCGAGGAUAGAUGAAAGGUGGCCUCUACAUGUAAGCUAUCACUGAAGGAGGGGAUUGCGUCUGAUUAGCUAGUUGGAGGGGUAACGGCCCACCAAGGCGAUGAUCAGUAGCCGGUCUGAGAGGAUGAACGGCCACAUUGGGACUGAGACACGGCCCAGACUCCUACGGGAGGCAGCAGUGGGGAAUCUUCCGCAAUGGACGGAAGUCUGACGGAGCAACGCCGCGUGAGUGAUGACGGCCUUCGGGUUGUAAAGCUCUGUUAAUCGGGACGAAAGGCCUUCUUGCGAAUAGUGAGAAGGAUUGAUGGUACCGGAAUAGAAAGCCACGGCUAACUACGUG